ACGAACGCUGGCGGCGUGCCUAAUACAUGCAAGUCGAGCGGACAGAAGGGAGCUUGCUCCCGGAUGUUAGCGGCGGACGGGUGAGUAACACGUGGGUAACCUGCCUGUAAGACUGGGAUAACUCCGGGAAACCGGAGCUAAUACCGGAUAGUUCCUUGAACCGCAUGGUUCAAGGAUGAAAGACGGUUUCGGCUGUCACUUACAGAUGGACCCGCGGCGCAUUAGCUAGUUGGUGGGGUAAUGGCUCACCAAGGCGACGAUGCGUAGCCGACCUGAGAGGGUGAUCGGCCACACUGGGACUGAGACACGGCCCAGACUCCUACGGGAGGCAGCAGUAGGGAAUCUUCCGCAAUGGACGAAAGUCUGACGGAGCAACGCCGCGUGAGUGAUGAAGGUUUUCGGAUCGUAAAGCUCUGUUGUUAGGGAAGAACAAGUGCGAGAGUAACUGCUCGCACCUUGACGGUACCUAACCAGAAAGCCACGGCUAACUACGUGCCAGA
This 500-nucleotide ribosomal RNA is filed under the name Bacillus pumilus. Its description in RNAcentral is "bacterial SSU rRNA". It matches the Rfam family "Bacterial small subunit ribosomal RNA", at positions 29 to 512 of the family's 1533-position model. The record is from RNAcentral. Lineage: Bacteria; Bacillati; Bacillota; Bacilli; Caryophanales; Bacillaceae.